RNAcentral lists this unclassified non-coding RNA (230 nucleotides) under plant metagenome. Its description in RNAcentral is "partial contains small subunit ribosomal RNA, internal transcribed spacer 1, and 5.8S ribosomal RNA". The record is from RNAcentral.
UCUCCGUAGGUGAACCUGCGGAGGGAUCAUUACAGAGUUCUCGCCCUUACGGGUAGAUCUCCCACCCACUGUUAUCGUUACUGUCGUUUCUUUGGCGGGCCGCCGGGUCCCUGGCCGCCGGCGCCUAGCUGCCGGCGCGCGCCCGCCAGAGGCCUUCAAACUCUGAAUGUUAGUGUCGUCUGAGUACUGUAUAAUAGUUAAAACUUUCAACAACGGAUCUCUUGGUUCUG